Loxodonta africana (African savanna elephant) is the source of this 1327-nucleotide RNA transcript. It is a transcript of the gene named DnaJ heat shock protein family (Hsp40) member C17, with no coding region annotated. The record is from RefSeq and is a predicted model, not a curated record. The transcript is spliced from 12 exons. Lineage: Eukaryota; Metazoa; Chordata; Mammalia; Proboscidea; Elephantidae.
GAACACUACAAUUCCCAGGGGGCUAGACGCCAUUAAGCCUGGCCGAGCCGGGAGGCCCUCGGGAGUCCGGACGCACGCUUAGGCUCUUGGGAGUUGUAGUACCAACCGAGCCAGGGUCGUAACCAUGGCGGUGACCAAAGAGCUCUUACAGAUGGACCUGUACUCGCUGCUAGGGAUUGAGGAGAAGGCGACGGACAAAGAGGUGAAGAAGGCAUACAGGCAGAAGGCCCUCUCCUGCCACCCGGACAAAAAUCCGGAUAAUCCCAGAGCAGCUGAACUCUUUCAUCAGCUUUCUCAGGCCUUGGAGGUUCUGACCGAUGCUGCAGCCAGGGCUGCGUAUGACAAGGUCAGGAAAGCCAAGAAGCAGGCAGCAGAGAGGACCCAGAAACUUGAUGAGAGAAGGAAGAAGGUGAAGCUUGACCUGGAGGCCCGGGAGCGGGAGGCCCAGGCCCACGGAAGUGAGGAGGAGGAGGAGAACCGGAGCGCCAGGACGCUGGAGCAAGAAAUCGAGCGCCUGCGAGAGGAGGGUUCCCGGCAGCUGGGGGAGCAGCAGAGGCUGAUCCAGGAGCAGAUACGCCUGGAGCGGGAGCAGAGGUUGAGAGGAAAGUCAGAAAAUACUGAGGGCAAAGGAACCCCCAAACUAAAGCUAAAAUGGAAGUGGAAGAAGGAGGAUGAGUCAAAAGGUGGCUACUCCAGAGAUGUCCUCCUGCGGCUCUUUCAGAAGUAUGGUGAAGUUCUCAAUCUGGUGCUUUCUAGGAAGAAGGCAGGCACUGCAGUGGUGGAGUUUGCGACCGUUAAGGCUGCGGAGCUGGCUGUCCAGAAUGAGGUGGGCCUGGUCGAUAACCCUCUGAAGAUUUCCUGGUUGGAAGGACAACCCCAGGGCACAGUGGGCUCCAGCCACCCAGGACUGUCACAGCCCUUACUCCAAACCAGUUGGCCAGGGCCUGGCAUCUUAGCCCCAGCCACUCCCUUAUUAUUUCCUGGGUCACUGACCACCAGGCUUCCCUCCCGGUUUGUCCCAUGAGUGUGCCAGCAUGGAACAGGCCCCAGCAGCCUCCUCCUCUGAUAGAGGGCCAAGCAUCAUGCAUCCCCUGGCUUGGCACUCCACCUCCUCCCCGUGCCAACUCAGGGCUCAGUGCUGUCUGAGAGGGACUACGAGAGCCUCGUCAUGAUGCGCAUGCGCCAGGCAGCUGAGCGGCAGCAGCUGAUUGCCCGGAUGCAGCGAGAGGAUGAGGAGGGGCCACCCACGUAGCCCCGGGCUCCAGCCCCUCCCACCUUACAGCCCUUUUCUUAAACAUCAUCAAUAAAAUUUUGUUUUUUUUUUUAA